ACGGGUGAGUAACACGUAUCCAACCUGCCGAUGACUCGGGGGAUAGCCUUUCGAAAGAAAGAUUAAUACCUGAUAGUAUGGUGAGAUUGCAUGAUAGCACCAUUAAAGAUUUAUUGGUAAACGAUGGGGAUGCGUUCCAUUAGGUAGUAGGCGGGGUAACGGCCCACCUAGCCGACGAUGGAUAGGGGUUCUGAGAGGAAGGUCCCCCACAUUGGAACUGAGACACGGUCCAAACUCCUACGGGAGGCAGCAGUGAGGAAUAUUGGUCAAUGGGCGAGAGCCUGAACCAGCCAAGUAGCGUGAAGGAUGAAGGUCCUACGGAUUGUAAACUUCUUUUAUACGGGAAUAAAGUAUCCUACGUGUAGGAUUUUGUAUGUACCGUAUGAAUAAGCAUCGGCUAACUCCGUG
Molecule: ribosomal RNA, 408 nt
Filed under: uncultured bacterium
Lineage: Bacteria
Description: bacterial SSU rRNA
Rfam family: Bacterial small subunit ribosomal RNA
Source: RNAcentral